This is a ribosomal RNA of Pteropus vampyrus (large flying fox), 119 nucleotides long. NCBI's taxonomy places the organism in Eukaryota, Metazoa, Chordata, Mammalia, Chiroptera, Pteropodidae. The record is from Ensembl.
AUCUACAGCCAUGCUACCCUGAACAAGUCCAAUCCCAUCUGAUCUCAGAAGCUAAGUAAAGUCGGGCCUGGUUAAUACUUGGAUGGGAGACCAUCUAGGAAGACCAGGUGCUGUAGGUG